Molecule: ribosomal RNA, 468 nt
Filed under: uncultured bacterium
Lineage: Bacteria
Description: partial 16S ribosomal RNA
Rfam family: Bacterial small subunit ribosomal RNA
Source: RNAcentral
GACGGACGCUGGCGGCGUGCUUAACACAUGCAAGUCGAACGGAAAGGCCCUGCUUUUGUGGGGUGCUCGAGUGGCGAACGGGUGAGUAACACGUGAGUAACCUGCCCUUGACUUUGGGAUAACUUCAGGAAACUGGGGCUAAUACCGGAUAGGAGCUCCUGCUGCAUGGUGGGGGUUGGAAAGUUUCGGCGGUUGGGGACGGACUCGCGGCUUAUCAGCUUGUUGGUGGGGUAGUGGCUUACCAAGGCUUUGACGGGUAGCCGGCCUGAGAGGGUGACCGGCCACAUUGGGACUGAGAUACGGCCCAGACUCCUACGGGAGGCAGCAGUGGGGAAUAUUGCACAAUGGGCGGAAGCCUGAUGCAGCAACGCCGCGUGCGGGAUGACGGCCUUCGGGUUGUAAACCGCUUUCGCCUGUGACGAAGCGUGAGUGACGGUAAUGGGUAAAGAAGCACCGGCUAACUACGUG